Molecule: long non-coding RNA, 826 nt
Organism: Cyprinus carpio carpio
Lineage: Eukaryota; Metazoa; Chordata; Actinopteri; Cypriniformes; Cyprinidae
Source: Ensembl
CGAGUAUCCGCUCGACUCAUUCAAGCUCGCCGGCCAAAUGAGAAACAAAUGUUUCUUGUCAGACGCUGUUGGCCGGGAUCCCUGGACCCCUCAGACAACGACUUCCAAACCCAACCCUCCCACCCACAAAUGUCCCAGAAUGCACUGCAGCAGCACAAAGGGAGUUGGAGAGCUGUUCCGUUCACAAGCUCAGGGAUCCAGUUUGCAUGCAGGAGAGAGAUUACAGUCGGAUCUGUGUUGUGGUCUGUUGAACAGCCUGACCCUUCAUGCACUUCGGAUUAGCUCCAGUUACCAUUAAUGGAAAGUAGAGCAGUCGACUGGCCCGAAUUCAGUUGGUUUCAGUGCGAAUGACUCCAUUAGCAGCGAGAUGCCCAUCGUGUCUCCAGCAGCAGCUAAAGGUUAUUCUUCUGUAAAGCGAGUCUCCGAUGGGACGAGCGGAGAGGAGAAGCGCUGAUGUGUGUUGGGCUGGAGACAAGGCCUGUCUUUGUGUUGGGAGAGUGAAUGAUGAAUAUGCUCUCUAGACUUCACUCUUCCAUCCGACAAUGAUGUUGGAAAGCUACCGGCUCGUUCAGUCACUGCUUCUUUCCUCUUGUGUUUGGUGAGGUAAUAAACUCUGCUUUAAAUAUCCUGAACCUCACAAGGACGCAGUCCCAACCACUCAAUCAUUAUUCAGAAUAAACAGCAGUCAUUUCAUUAGUUUAUGCACACAACUGUAGCUGCGGUAUAUUGGACCCUGUGUUUUUGCGGUUUAAAAAGGAAAAUACUGUAAAUUAAAAUGUUUGUUUAUUUAAUUAAAAGUGUUUUUAAGUUAGGUUGCUCCAAAAAG